UCCUGUGAUUCUACUCUGUUAAACCUUGUC
RNAcentral lists this non-coding RNA (30 nucleotides) under Homo sapiens (human). Lineage: Eukaryota; Metazoa; Chordata; Mammalia; Primates; Hominidae. The record is from RNAcentral.